GCGAUUAGCUCGGUUGUGAGAGCGCGACCUUGCCAAGGUCGGGGGCGCGAGUUCGAGUCUCGUUACCCGCUCCA
This 74-nucleotide transfer RNA is filed under the name Klebsiella pneumoniae. RNAcentral's name for it is "tRNA-Gly". It matches the Rfam family "tRNA". Rfam says of the family: Transfer RNA (tRNA) molecules are approximately 80 nucleotides in length. Their secondary structure includes four short double-helical elements and three loops (D, anti-codon, and T loops). The record is from RNAcentral. Lineage: Bacteria; Pseudomonadati; Pseudomonadota; Gammaproteobacteria; Enterobacterales; Enterobacteriaceae.